Cynocephalus volans (Philippine flying lemur) is the source of this 103-nucleotide small nuclear RNA. The record is from RefSeq and is a predicted model, not a curated record. NCBI's taxonomy places the organism in Eukaryota, Metazoa, Chordata, Mammalia, Dermoptera, Cynocephalidae.
UCCCUUUGGCAGCGCAUAUACUAACAUUGGAACAAUACAGAGAAGAUUAGCAUGGCCCCUGCUCAAGGGUGACACGCAAAUUUGCGAAGUGGUCCAUAAAAGA